RNAcentral lists this unclassified non-coding RNA (152 nucleotides) under uncultured Helotiales. RNAcentral describes it as "sequence contains ITS2". The record is from RNAcentral. Lineage: Eukaryota; Fungi; Ascomycota; Leotiomycetes; Helotiales.
CAACCCCUCAAGCUCAGCUUGGUGUUGGGCUGCGCCAGCGUUGCUGGCGGGCCUUAAAAUCAGUGGCGGUGCCGUUUGGGCUCCAAGCGUAGUAGCAUCUCUCGCUCUGGAGACCCGGCGGUUGCUUGCCAGACAAUCACCAAAAAACAAAG